This is a long non-coding RNA of Pollicipes pollicipes, 255 nucleotides long. RefSeq lists it as uncharacterized. The record is from RefSeq and is a predicted model, not a curated record. The transcript is spliced from 3 exons. Lineage: Eukaryota; Metazoa; Arthropoda; Thecostraca; Pollicipedomorpha; Pollicipedidae.
CGUGCCUCCGCCUCCGCCGGCCGGCCCGAGGUCAGCCUCGCGUUUACGUCCGGCGGGCGAGAAAGCCGCUCGUGGACCUGCAGAUGUCGCGACUCUCGAUCAUCUCCAGCAGACGCCGCGGGGGUCGCGCUGAGGACACAUUCCAGCUGCCCCAGCUGGGGUCACCGUUUCAGGUUGUCAUCGAAGGCGUCCCCGCCGCCGACCACGUGACCGAUGCUGCCGUCGUUGACGUCACCCUGAUGCAUGGAGACGAAU